CCUACGGGCGGCAGCAGUGGGGGAUAUUGCACAAUGGGGGAAACCCUGAUGCAGCGACGCCGCGUGGGUGAAGAAGCGCCUCGGCGCGUAAAGCCCUGUCAGCAGGGAAGAAAAUGACGGUACCUGAAGAAGAACCCCCGGCUAACUACGUGCCAGCAGCCGCGGUAAUACGGAGGGGGCAAGCGUUAUCCGGAUUUACUGGGGGUAAAGGGGGCGCAGACGGCGAUGCAGGCCAGGAGUGAAAGCCGGGGGCCCAACCCCGGGACUGCUCUUGAAACUGCGUGGCUGGAGUGGAGGAGGGGUAGGCGGAAUUCCUGGUGUAGCGGUGAAAUGCGUAGAUAUCAGGAAGAACACCGAUGGCGAAGGCGGCCUGCUGGACUGCAACUGACGUUGAGGCCCGAAAGCGUGGGGAGCAAACAGGAUUAGAUACCCUAGUAGUC
This 440-nucleotide ribosomal RNA is filed under the name uncultured bacterium. RNAcentral describes it as "partial 16S ribosomal RNA". It matches the Rfam family "Bacterial small subunit ribosomal RNA", at positions 338 to 795 of the family's 1533-position model. The record is from RNAcentral.